AGAAAAUAAAGGUCAGGAAGUAGUAAUUAGCAAUUUUUUUCAGAGAGAAGCUGGUUGGUGUAAAGCUUUAAAAGUUUCUGGUGAACUCGUCCUGAAAGAUAAACCUUUCGUUGUGCUUCCGCGUUAAGGAGCAAUAAGUGUCACAUUAUGUGGAACUUAGGUGGUACCGCGAGUAAAUUCGUCCUAUGA
RNAcentral lists this non-coding RNA (189 nucleotides) under Lactobacillus kalixensis. RNAcentral describes it as "T-box sequence". It matches the Rfam family "T-box leader". From Rfam's summary of the family: Uncharged tRNA acts as the effector for transcription antitermination of genes in the T-box leader family. T-boxes are found upstream of many aminoacyl-tRNA synthetase genes and some amino acid biosynthetic genes usually in Gram-positive bacteria. The anticodon of a specific tRNA base pairs to a specifier sequence within the T-box motif, and the NCCA acceptor tail of the tRNA base pairs to a conserved bulge in the T-box antiterminator hairpin. The record is from RNAcentral. Lineage: Bacteria; Bacillati; Bacillota; Bacilli; Lactobacillales; Lactobacillaceae.